Molecule: ribosomal RNA, 253 nt
Filed under: uncultured bacterium
Lineage: Bacteria
Description: partial 16S ribosomal RNA
Rfam family: Archaeal small subunit ribosomal RNA
Source: RNAcentral
UACCAGCACCCCGAGCGGUCGGGACGAUUAUUGGGCCUAAAGCAUCCGUAGCCGGUCAUGCAAGUCCUCCGUUAAAUCCACCUGCUUAACAGAUGGGCUGCGGAGGAUACUACAAGGCUAGGAGGCGGAAGAGGCAAGCGGUACUCAGUGGGUAGGGGUAAAAUCCUCUGAUCCAUUGAAGACCACCAGUGGCGAAGGCGGCUUGCCAAUACGCGCUCGACGGUGAGGGAUGAAAGCUGGGGGAGCAAACCGG